Long non-coding RNA from Pantherophis guttatus, 2368 nucleotides. RefSeq lists it as uncharacterized. The record is from RefSeq and is a predicted model, not a curated record. Lineage: Eukaryota; Metazoa; Chordata; Lepidosauria; Squamata; Colubridae.
CGGAACGCGAGUCCAAAGCUUUUUUUUUUUUUUCCAAAGGGUUAAGCAAAAAAAACGGAAACGGCUAAAGAAGAAAACAGAUCUGCUAGCAAACAUCCGAGAGAUCCCGCCAGGCUCUCCCCGCCAGUCCCAGAUCCUCGCAGGUUAGACCUAAAAAAGAGCCCAAGUGGCAAACAUUUUGGGAAGAGGCGAGGCAAGCCCGGCCUUGCUAAGGAUUCCCGGAGCAGCGUCUGGCACCGGAGUCCGGGUUUUCGUGGGAUUUUGUAAGGUAGCAGGAGAAAGCUCGAAGCAGACGCAUUAAACGCCUGCAGUUACGGGGGACGGAGUAGGGGUGGGGGGUGGGGAAGCGCCUGGAGAGUUAAACUACAGUCGCCUAAUUCUGCAACCCUUCCCCCCUUCCUCCUCCUCCUCCUCCUCCCCCAGGUGUGUUUUUUCUCCUUUUAAAUCCAGGCACGGUAAACAUACUAAGACUUUGGAACGGUUUCAGAUAGGGGGAAACCCUGGACCGCCUGUGUGAUUUUCAUCCUCUCCUUCCCUCCCUUUUUUUAAAAAAAAAAGUUUGGCACUUGCGAGGCGUCAGAAAUUAGGUGGUUUCGUGCUAAGUGUGCCAACUGAUGCUAUCUGGAAAUAAUAAUAAUUUUUUUUAAAAACAAAAACCCUGCGAGGUAUGUAGCAAAUGUUAUGGAAAAAUUAUCUGUUGCAACAGCUCCGCUUACCUAACUCCUGCGCUGUAAGAGGCAAACCCUACAAAGUGGAGUGAAAGGCAGCUUGGAUUUGGGAAAACGGGGGGGGGGGGGGGGAGGUUGGCCAAGAGCCUAGGGCAGUCAGAGGCGAGGGAGUCUUUCUCUCCCCCCCCCACGCCUCCCCCUCCAGGUGCGUGUAAGAGGUCUUCAGGUCUCGGGCGUAAAUAUUUAUUAUGGCACCUUCUUUGUUUACUGCGGAUGCGUCUAUGCGAGGUCGUGAGUUUAUUGUCUCUCUUUCUCUCUCCAGUAAUGUUUCACUCUCAGAGACGGUGUAAAUACUUCAUGCGGUGUUUUUAGCAACAUCUCCGGGACUGGAGGGUUUCCCACUCACACACACACCCCCACUCUCAGUUGAAUCCACAAACUUGGGAAUUGCUAACAGUUCCCCACUGCAAGACCAACCUUGCUUUACUCUUUUCCGGCAUCUCUCAUGUUGGUCUGAAUCCCUUUACUCGGGGGAGUAAACUUCAACGAGAACAGCGCGCCUGGCUCCAAGUCAGCCGCUGCGCAUCGCGCUGCAAUCUCAGACCGACUUCCGAGGCCCGUUCCUUUGGGAGAGGCUGGGGGGAGGAAGGAGGGGUGUUUCAGAUGGACGCUAAGGAUACUAUUAGCUAUGGAACCGCACCGCUGUAUAACUCGGAGGAGGAGUAGCCGCCAUCCGUGCACCACCCUUUAGAUCUGUUCUUGAAGGAAGGUGGGUUGCCUCGGAGAAAAGCGCUCCUAAAGGAAGGUUUAGGCCAAAGCACCCGAAGACAAGGAAUAAUGGAUGGAAACUGAGCCAGGAGAGAUUCAACUUGGAAAUAAGGAGAAAUUAUUUCUGACAGUGAGAACAAUCAACCCGUGGAACAGAAGUUGCCUUCAGAAGUUGUGGGAGCUUCAUCACUGGAGGCUUUCAAGAAGAGACUGGACUGCCAUUUGUUAGAAAUGGUGUAGGGUCUCCUGCUUGGGUGGGGGGUUGGAAUAGAUGACCUACAAGGUCCCUUCCAACUCUGUUAAUCUGUAAUCUGGGGGCCCCCCAGAUAUAUCGGGUCUGCAGUUCCUCAAAUUCCCAGCCAGUCUCACUCCUUGGAGGCAAAUUGGGGAAGGGUGCAACAUGCCGCUUUAGGUCAGGGGUCAGCAAUCUGCAGCUCUGGAGCCGUAUGUGGCUCUUUCAUUCCUCUGUUGCGGCUCCCUGUUGCUGGUCGGCUCCACAAUUGCUAGGGCUUACGGUUAAGAUAGGUAGAGGAAAAAGAAUGCCAUGCUAGGAGGAGACUCUAUGGGGGGGGAACCGGACUUCCGGUCCGCAGAGGAAAAAGGACGCCACGCUAGGAGACUAUGAUGGGGGAAACGGACUUCCGGUCGGCUCCAGAAUUGAACGGGGGGCUUCCGGUUAGGACCUUUGUGGCUCUUUGUUUAAGGUUGCCGAUCCCUGCUUUAGGUGAAAUAUGGGGGGAAAUGCUCUUGGGAGAAAGCGAUCGGCUUUGGGGCACCACGAAGACAAAUUUGAGGCAAGAUAUGACAGUUCAGGACUGUUUCCCUUGACGUUAAAAAAAAAGAAGCCACCUCUUCCUCUGGGCCUCGUCCCAAAUCCAGAAUAGUAAUAAUAAAAAAAUGUUGCUCCUGGUUUUGUACUGGGAAGAGACGGA